This is a long non-coding RNA of Lutra lutra (Eurasian river otter), 391 nucleotides long. RefSeq lists it as uncharacterized. The record is from RefSeq and is a predicted model, not a curated record. Lineage: Eukaryota; Metazoa; Chordata; Mammalia; Carnivora; Mustelidae. The transcript is spliced from 4 exons.
UGAGAACCACAACUUUAGCAAAACUACACCACACACAUGAGGUUCCAGAGCAGCGGCAGGACAAUGGCCACCUCCAAUCCACCAGACUUCCUGAAAGAGCUGACUUGUUCUAGCUGCUUAUGCUCUUCGAACCAUUUGCAACUGAACGUGGACACAGGUCUUUCUAUGAGUGUCUCUUAAGAAUCUGAAAGGAAAGCCCCCAUUGCACCUGCCUCAAGGUCAAGGAUAUGUACAAGAAUGAGGUCCAAGAAAUCCUGACAAGAGAGGAUGUCCCUUGGAAGAGAGAAAUGAGCAGGUUUGCCACCUGAGGAUGGGAGUGGAAGACCGGGGAGCAGCUGAACAGAUAAAGGCCCUUCAGUUACCGCUCUUCUCUUCGGCUUUUUCCCUGAAG